RNAcentral lists this ribosomal RNA (110 nucleotides) under Scophthalmus maximus (turbot). The record is from RNAcentral. Lineage: Eukaryota; Metazoa; Chordata; Actinopteri; Pleuronectiformes; Scophthalmidae.
GCUUACGGCCACACCGCCUGGUUCACGUUUGAUCUCGGAAGCUAAGAUAGGUUGGGCCUGGUUAGUACUUGGAUGGGAGACCGCCUCGGGAAUACCAGGUGCUGUAAGCU